RNAcentral lists this microRNA precursor (113 nucleotides) under Pelobates cultripes (western spadefoot toad). The record is from RNAcentral. Lineage: Eukaryota; Metazoa; Chordata; Amphibia; Anura; Pelobatidae.
CUGGCUCUGCUCCCCCUCCCCAGCGCACUACAAUGAGACCGGGCCGGAAUAGUCAUAUUCCGGCCCCGGUCUCAUUGUAGUGCGCAGGGGAGGGGGAGCAGAGCCAGAACAGC